AUAGGGUGGCAAUUUAUACUAAAGUUGCAUAGAAGAUCAAAUUAUGAUUUAGUUAGAGGGUGAAUGAGAGAAUCUAAGAAGAAAAAUGUGAGUGUUAUAACAACAAGAAGUUAUUGGUCUUGGGCAUAAAAGUAGAUCCAGAUCAAUAGAGAAGGUUUUCAAUUAGAAGAAGAAGGGAGUGCCAAUUUUAGAGGAGCUUGAAUUGACUAAAAGAGAAGCAACAAUGGUGUUGUAUUGAGUUGGUAUUGAUGGAUCUAAGCUAUACGGCCGUUUAGAGGAGGCGGUAAGAUCAAGGCAUUUUUAUAAAAAAGAAUCAUAGCAGUGGUGUUGCAAGGACGUGGAAACAAUCUGGUAGUGACAAGGACAAGAUAUGGCUUGGAAAUUGAUGAUUAUAGUAGAUUGGUUGUGAUUUGCAAUAUUGUUAUAAGGUGAUAGUUGAUUUCCAGUAGUAAUACAAGUUUGAAAGGAUUUUUAUAUAUA
RNAcentral lists this long non-coding RNA (480 nucleotides) under Physcomitrium patens. RNAcentral describes it as "long non-coding RNA (PPAT_LNC010811)". Lineage: Eukaryota; Viridiplantae; Streptophyta; Bryopsida; Funariales; Funariaceae. The record is from RNAcentral.